GCACUUCGGGAUAAGCCUGGGAAACUGGGUCUAAUACCGGAUAGGACCAUGAGAUGCAUGUCUUAUGGUGGAAAGCUUUUGCGGUGUGGGAUGGGCCCGCGGCCUAUCAGCUUGUUGGUGGGGUCACGGCCUACCAAGGCUCCGACGGGUAGCCGGCCUGAGAGGGUGUCCGGCCACACUGGGACUGAGAUACGGCCCAGACUCCUACGGGAGGCAGCAGUGGGGAAUAUUGCACAAUGGGCGCAAGCCUGAUGCAGCGACGCCGCGUGAGGGACGACGGCCUUCGGGUUGUAAACCUCUUUCAGUGCCGACGAAGCGCAAGUGACGGUAGGCACAGAAGAAGGACCGGCCAACUACGUGCCAGCAGCCGCGGUAAUACGUAGGGUCCGAGCGUUGUCCGGAAUUACUGGGCGUAAAGAGCUCGUAGGUGGUUUGUCGCGUUGUUCGUGAAAACUCACAGCUCAACUGUGGGCGUGCGGGCGAUACGGGCAGACUGGAGUACUGCAGGGGAGACUGGAAUUCCUGGUGUAGCGGUGGAAUGCGCAGAUAUCAGGAGGAACACCGGUGGCGAAGGCGGGUCUCUGGGCAGUAACUGACGCUGAGGAGCGAAAGCGUGGGGAGCGAACAGGAUUAGAUACCCUGGUAGUCCACGCCGUAAACGGUGGGUACUAGGUGUGGGUUUCCUU
This 686-nucleotide ribosomal RNA is filed under the name uncultured Mycobacterium sp. RNAcentral describes it as "bacterial SSU rRNA". It matches the Rfam family "Bacterial small subunit ribosomal RNA", at positions 133 to 833 of the family's 1533-position model. Lineage: Bacteria; Bacillati; Actinomycetota; Actinomycetes; Mycobacteriales; Mycobacteriaceae. The record is from RNAcentral.